AAAUAAACAGGUGUCCGGGUAAUCCCCCAACGUAGGAUGCCACCAAAUUUGAAGACACUGGGUACAACAGUGCAUGAAAUAUCUCGCUAACAAGA
This is a long non-coding RNA of Haliotis rubra (blacklip abalone), 95 nucleotides long. RefSeq lists it as uncharacterized. The transcript is spliced from 3 exons. Lineage: Eukaryota; Metazoa; Mollusca; Gastropoda; Lepetellida; Haliotidae. The record is from RefSeq and is a predicted model, not a curated record.